RNAcentral lists this ribosomal RNA (253 nucleotides) under uncultured bacterium. Its description in RNAcentral is "partial 16S ribosomal RNA". It matches the Rfam family "Bacterial small subunit ribosomal RNA", at positions 524 to 776 of the family's 1533-position model. The record is from RNAcentral.
UACGAAGGGGGCGAGCGUUGUUCGGAAUUACUGGGCGUAAAGCGCGUGUAGGCGGCCAUCUAAGUCGGGCGUGAAAUCCCACGGCUCAACCGUGGAAGUGCACUCGAAACUGGAUGGCUAGAGUCCUGGAGAGGAAGGUGGAAUGCUUGGUGUAGAGGUGAAAUUCGUAGAUAUCAAGCGGAACACCGGUGGCGAAGGCGGCCUUCUGGACAGUGACUGACGCUGAGACGCGAAAGCGUGGGGAGCAAACAGG